RNAcentral lists this ribosomal RNA (515 nucleotides) under Patescibacteria group bacterium. RNAcentral's name for it is "bacterial SSU rRNA". It matches the Rfam family "Bacterial small subunit ribosomal RNA", at positions 1 to 424 of the family's 1533-position model. The record is from RNAcentral.
AUAGUUAAGAGUUUGAUCCUAGCUCAGGAUGAACGCUGGCGGCGUGGAUAAGGCAUGCAAGUCAAGGGGGGUGCAUCACACUGUGCGUGAUGCAAGUAUGGAGUAUGGAGUAUGGAGUAUGAGGUAUGAUCGCAACCUGCGGCCAUGCUUUAUACCCCAUACUUUAUACCCCAUACUUGCAUCGCGCCUAGCGCGAUGCAUCAACCGGCAGACGAGGUAGUAAUAAAUAGGUACGCACCCUGGGGUCGGGCAUAGCUCGUCGAAAGACGGGGUAAUUCCCGAUAGUCUCGCAAGAGUAAAGUUUUUCGCCCCGGGAGCGGCCUAUUCGGUAUCAGCUAGUUGGUAGGGUAACGGCCUACCAAGGCAAUGACGCCUAGGGGACCUGAGAGGGUGACCCCCACCGAUGGGACUGAGACACGGCCCAUACACCUACGGGUGGCUGCAGUCGAGAAUCUUCCGCAAUGGACGAAAGUCUGACGGAGCGACGCCGCGUGGAGGAUGAAGUGCUUCGGUAU